AGCGCAGACGGCGAAGCAAGUCUGAAGUGAAAUGCAUGGGCUCAACCCAUGAAUUGCUUUGGAAACUGUUUGGCUUGAGUGUCGGAGGGGUAAGCGGAAUUCCUAGUGUAGCGGUGAAAUGCGUAGAUAUUAGGAGGAACACCGGAGGCGAAGGCGGCUUACUGGACGACAACUGACGUUGAGGCUCGAAGGCGGGGGGAGCAAACA
This 207-nucleotide ribosomal RNA is filed under the name uncultured bacterium. RNAcentral describes it as "partial 16S ribosomal RNA". It matches the Rfam family "Bacterial small subunit ribosomal RNA", at positions 568 to 774 of the family's 1533-position model. The record is from RNAcentral.